RNAcentral lists this ribosomal RNA (513 nucleotides) under uncultured bacterium. RNAcentral's name for it is "partial 16S ribosomal RNA". It matches the Rfam family "Bacterial small subunit ribosomal RNA", at positions 28 to 523 of the family's 1533-position model. The record is from RNAcentral.
GACGAACGCUGGCGGCAUGCCUAAUACAUGCAAGUCGAGCGAACAGAUGAAGUGCUUGCACUUCUGACGUUAGCGGCGAACGGGUGAGUAACACGUAAGGAAUCUACCUAUAAGCGGGGGAUAACAUUCGGAAACGGGUGCUAAUACCGCAUAAUAUCUUCUUCCGCAUGGAAGAAGAUUGAAAGACGGCUCUGCUGUCACUUAUAGAUGACCUUGCGGUGCAUUAGUUAGUUGGUGGGGUAAUGGCCUACCAAGACGAUGAUGCAUAGCCGACCUGAGAGGGUGAUCGGCCACAUUGGGACUGAGACACGGCCCAAACUCCUACGGGAGGCAGCAGUAGGGAAUCUUCCGCAAUGGGCGAAAGCCUGACGGAGCAAUGCCGCGUGAGUGAAGAAGGCCUUCGGGUCGUAAAACUCUGUUAUAAGAGAAGAACAAAUUGUAGAGUAACUGCUACAGUCUUGACGGUAUCUUAUCAGAAAGCCACGGCUAACUACGUGCCAGCCGCCGCAGUAA